Pteropus alecto (black flying fox) is the source of this 119-nucleotide non-coding RNA. The record is from Rfam. Lineage: Eukaryota; Metazoa; Chordata; Mammalia; Chiroptera; Pteropodidae.
GUCUACGGCUAUGCUACCCUCAACAAGCCCAAUCCCGUCUGAUCUUGGAAGCUAAGCAGGGUCGAGCCUGGUUAGUACUUGAAUGGGAGACCACCUAGGAAGACCAGGUGCUGUAGGCA